This is a long non-coding RNA of Siniperca chuatsi (mandarin fish), 2985 nucleotides long. RefSeq lists it as uncharacterized. Lineage: Eukaryota; Metazoa; Chordata; Actinopteri; Centrarchiformes; Sinipercidae. The record is from RefSeq and is a predicted model, not a curated record. The transcript has 10 exons.
CAGCAACACUGGGGACCGUCCUCUCUCCCUUCCUCUUCACCAUCUAAACCACGGACUUCAGCUACCACACACAGUCCUGCCACCUUCAGAACUGCAACACUGCGUUACACUGAUGUGUCCAACAGGAUCCAAAUUGAACUCUCAAACCAUAACCUCAAAACCUUUGAAAGGCCACAGGACCAUUUUCAUCAACUGUCAAACACAAAACCUGGUGUGGCUGGUGAAUUUGAACAUUUAUCUGUCAGUGGCUUGUAGAUGUUCACAUUUUAAAGCACAACCAACCUGUGACGGUCUCCUCCCCUCAGCUGAGUUCUCAGCAAAUAAACUGAUGUGAGUCUGAGACCAGAGAGAAAGCUCUGUUUCUAAAAGUUAGUUUCACUCCUGUUUUCCUGUUUGCACUUUCACAUAUCAGCCUUAUUUUACUGUUUACUGACUGCUUUCAGCCAUGUAGCGCUAACAUUGUAACUGCUUCAUCGUGGUUUCAGAUUUAAUCCAUCCGUACAAAUGCAAAACCAAGGGUUUGGCCAGCAGAUGUCGCCAUACUGACGGAAUCAAAUCUGUCAGGAUCACUGUGACUACAAGUUUCCCCGUGUUCUUCCCCUUCCUGUUUCCUCUUGUGUGUUUUGUCUGUCUCUCUGUGUUUGUGUGGCGAUCCUCCACUCUCUUUCUGGUCGUCCCAGUCUGCUCCCACUGGCUUCCCACCUGAUCCUCAUCAACUUCCCCACUCUGCUGUAUAUGUGCAACCACUCAUCGCCAGAUUGUUCCGUCAGCUACUGUGGUAGUUUACCUCUCUGUCCUCCUCCUGUUGCAAGCUUAGUGACGUCCCUGUUUGAUUUACCUUUGCCUAAUUCAGUCGGUCAGUGCUUCAGACCAGGCUCACCUGCCUGCCUGCUCUCACCUGACACUCCACGCCGUCUCCAGCAAGCCACAAUGGAUUCAUCCACCCAUCAGCCUGCCUCAGUCUCCCUCAGCCACUGCCACUGCGACUCCCUCGGCUCCCUCAACCCUCUCCAUCUCCAUUCCCCACUGCCCUUUACAAUAACUGCCCCUUUAUCAAUCCCAAACCGUUUGUCUCUGAGUCUGCUUCUGGGUACAAAUCUGCAAAUCCUAACGGAAACACUUUCAACACAACUGCUUCACAGUGAUUCUGUGCUUCAGAAAGCUUCGUUUCCCCCAUAACUACUCAGAACCGUUGUGUUCCUCUUGACGUUGACCUUCAAAGCUUCCAACUCACCUUCCUCUUCAUCAGUGGGAUGAUGCUGCCCUCUGCUGGACUGGAAGAAUACAACAAUCUGAACAUUUUCAUAAAGGUGUAGGCCGCACAAAACCUUUAAGGGCACAUUCACUAAAUGUAAAGCGAGCAGGUUUGUCAGGCUGUGAUACACUAUAUGGCCAAAAGUAAGUGGACAGUUGACAGAGUAACAUGUGACUGUGACAUCAUGUCCACUCUUCUGGUUUCAGUCUUUCCAGCAGAUGUUGAACCUGCUGCAGGGAUUCGCUCCCAUUCAGACUCCAGAGCAUCAGUGAGGUCCAGCACUGAUGUUGGUGAUCAGGUCUGGAUCACAGUCGGCGUUCCAGUUCAUCCCAAAGGUACGGUGGCCCUGAAGUGCAAAACAACAUUACAAAGUGUGAAACACUUUUACAAAGCUAGAGACAAAUUUACAUUUUGGAAAACAAAUGAACAAGAUGCAAAACACUUUUACCAGUCCCGAAACAAAUUUACAAUGACAGAUUCUUCACGGAGAGGGAAUGUACCAUACACCGGAAGUGACGCGGUAAAUUCGUGUUGUGGUUGUGGAGUUAAUGGCGUAAAUAAAGUUUAUGGUGACCGAACAUGGACUGCGGCCAAGGGAUGUUUUGCCCCUUUUGUGGCAAACACAUGAGCAUCUUAACGUGGUUUUGCUUUACUUGUGGUCGGUGUUUGGAGUUUCUAAAGGACGCGGACCAGACGGAAACACAGGGGACGUCUCGACAGCCGGACAGUGCUAAGCAAAAAGUCUGUCCAUUUCAGCAGAACAGCCAUGCCCAUCAUACAAACAGUUCAUGGAGUACAGAAGCUCGAAGUCAAAAGAACGGCAGUCUUUUAACUUUGGGCCAAAAGGAAGAUUUAAGCCUAAAGAAAGAAAACACGUCCAGAUAAAUGUAGGACUGAUGGUGCCACAUGAAACUGAUGGAGCCGAUUUAAAACCUCUACGAGGGAAAACACUCCCGUUAUUUGCAGACCCGGAGUGGAUGAUACCUCAGACUCUGAUUCUGAAACUGUCAUCACAACAAGGAGCACAGCUGAAUUCAAUCGAGCUGACACUUUGGUUUUUGAACCACAAAAUCGAAGUACUCCCAAACUCAAACUGGAAGAUGAAAGAGAUGCACCAGGACAUUCAUCAACAAUUCGGCCAGGACAGAUAGUAAUAUCUGAUGCUGAGGAUCUGGAUCCACCUGAAAAAAAUCCAGAAUAAACUUUUUGCUACAGUAAAUACACAGACCUGUAUUCACCAAAUGUUGAGCAAGAAGAUGAAGAGCCGGUUGCUGUCAAUGUGAAGAAUUUCCAACACACAGCAAUGGAGGAGACGGACAUUACAUUACCUGACAUCAUAGCAAACCUGUCGCUUCCUAUUGAUCAUAAGAGAGUCUGCCGGUUCAACAUCUCAAGGGCUCAUGUUUGGGAUGGGGCAGUCAGAGGUUUCAAGCGUGCAACAUAUUCUGAAACCUGUGACAUGCUGGUCAGAUUUACUGAUGAUACUGGUGUUCUGGAAGAGGGAACUGAAACUGGCGGUCCAAGACCAGAGGUUUUAACUCUACUAAUGAAACACCUAAAAGACCAGAAGGGCAUUGAUUCUUGGUCUACAGUGCAAAUGGUAUGCAUACAUCUAGUUAACAACAGAUGGUGUAACCCUGGUCACGUUACCAUCAAGCAGAGUAUCUGUAGCCCGGACAUUGAACUGUUAGCUGUGGGACUCCGGCCAUAUUAUCUGCCACGUAAAUUCC